UUGCUUCAGCAGCACAUAUACUAAAACGGGAAUGAUACAGAGAGGAGUAGCAUUGCCCCCACACAAGGAUGACUUGCAAAUUUGUGAUGCCUUCCGUAUUUUU
Mustela putorius furo (domestic ferret) is the source of this 103-nucleotide small nuclear RNA. NCBI's taxonomy places the organism in Eukaryota, Metazoa, Chordata, Mammalia, Carnivora, Mustelidae. The record is from Ensembl.